Molecule: long non-coding RNA, 930 nt
Filed under: Homo sapiens (human)
Lineage: Eukaryota; Metazoa; Chordata; Mammalia; Primates; Hominidae
Description: HSALNT0397250
Source: RNAcentral
UUUUUUCUUCCACAGCAGGAAUCCAGGGACACAUUUAUGACCGUCAUAAUUAACUAAGGCACCCAUCUUCCGCUGACUUUGGACAUCAGAGCUCCAGGUUCUCUCUCCUAGAACUGAGACACCCAUCUGCUGCUGCCUGUGGACAUCAGAACUCCAGGUUCUCUCUGUUAGAACUGAGACGCCCAUCUUCUGAUGCUUUUGGACAUCAGAGUUCCAGAUUAUCUCUCCUAGACCUCAGACAUACAUCUGCUGCUGCCUUUGGACAUCAGAACUCCAGGUUCUCUCUCGUAGAACUGAGACACCCAUCUUCUGAUGCCUUUGGACAUCAGAACUCCAGAUUCUGUUUUCUAGACCUGAGACACCCAUCUGCUGCUGCCUUUGGACAUCAGAACUCCAGGUUCUCUCACGUAGAACCGAGGCACCCAUCUUCUGCUGCCUUUGGACAUCAGAACUCCAGAUUCUCAGGCCUUUGUACUCUAGGAUGUGUAGCAGCAACCCCUGCCCCAGGUUUUCAGGCCUUUGGCCUCAGACUUCAAGCUACACCUCUGGCUUCUCUGGUUCUGAGGCUUUUGGACUUGGACUGAGCCAUGCUGCAGGCAUCCCUGGGUCUCCAGCUUGCAUAUGGCCUGUUGUAGGACUUCUCAGCCUCCAUAAUCAUGUGAGCCAAUUCCCUUAAUAAAUAGCCUCUCACUUAUCUAUCUAUGCAUCCUAUUGGUUCUGUCCCUCUGAAGAACCCUGACUAAUACUAAAGCUGUCUUCUGGAAGGGACAAAUUUUAAGUGAAGAUUCAAAGACCAGGGCUGCCAUAUGUGAGAGGAAAGUCACUGGCUAAGUAGAGAAGUGUAAAGUGGAGUUUUCCAUAGACUGCAAGAUGAAUGAUAUAACAACAGAUUAAAUGCGGAAACAAAUAUGAGACUGUAGCUGUCUUCUA